AAAUGCAAUUACAGGGCAAGGUCUCUAUUGGCAGGAGUCCCAUUACUUCACUCUUGCAUAAGUAUAUAACAUUAUUAAUUAUAAUGUUAUUAUGCAUUUGGUUGUGAUGAGCUUUCUGCCAAAGGAGAUUUGCCCGGCAAUUCUUUU
Molecule: microRNA precursor, 147 nt
Organism: Arabis alpina (gray rockcress)
Lineage: Eukaryota; Viridiplantae; Streptophyta; Magnoliopsida; Brassicales; Brassicaceae
Rfam family: mir-399 microRNA precursor family
About the family: mir-399 was identified in both Arabidopsis thaliana and Oryza sativa computationally and was later experimentally verified. mir-399 is thought to target mRNAs coding for a phosphatase transporter.
Source: Rfam